CGGGUGCGUUGCGAUGGCAGAAUCAUGGCUCUGAGGAGCCUGUGGGGAGUGAAGGUGGGUAGCCCACCUGGCUUGCGACCCAUGGUGCUAAUAGUGAGUCAGGGUUGGUGUUACAGGAACCAGUUGGACCGUAGUCCCUGGUUGUGUUGCUUAGGGAUGCGGAGUUAGUGUUAGUGUAGUGAAUGCAGAGUGUGUUGAUGUGUAGCGAAUGCAGAGUGUGUGUCAGUGUAGUGGAUGCAGUGAGUGUGUUAGUGUGUAGUGUAUGCAGAGUGUAUGUUGUAUUAGUGUAUGCAGUGUGUAUUGUAUUAGUGUAUGCAGUGUGUAUUGUAUUAGUGUAUGCAGUGUAUGUGUUGUGUUAGUGGGUGUCUGACCCCGUUUCUCUUGACCAGCAUGAUGUGGCUAUGUGUAGAGCUGGGCCAGUUCAAUGAGAGGUCAUGGAAACUCCAGUGCAUGAGUCGUCCCAGGGAAGCAUAUUUCUAGUGGUGUUGGUUCUCAUGUCUAUAAGCAAUGUUAAGGGGGUAUCCCAUCUAUCCCAAACAAUUUCCAGUAUAAAAUUGGAUGAAAAACACAACAUUUAAACAUUUAAAUGGUGAAACAUGUAUGCAUAUGUCAUACGUUACCACGCCGUUAGUCGGCAAGGGGCUUGCAGGCAGGUGUGCUUGUAAAGUAAAACAGUCACUUGGCUGUUGCCACAGUUUGACAGUCCCUGGUUACUCUCGUGGGGGAAGAAUGCAUGGUUUUUGACUGUUCUGCAGUGCCCGGCAGGUGAAGCUGUAUGUUCCAUUCCUCCAGCAGUUGUCCUUCUU
This is a non-coding RNA of Pelobates cultripes (western spadefoot toad), 806 nucleotides long. The record is from the annotation of a GenBank genome assembly. Lineage: Eukaryota; Metazoa; Chordata; Amphibia; Anura; Pelobatidae.